RNAcentral lists this ribosomal RNA (451 nucleotides) under uncultured bacterium. RNAcentral describes it as "partial 16S ribosomal RNA". It matches the Rfam family "Bacterial small subunit ribosomal RNA", at positions 354 to 796 of the family's 1533-position model. The record is from RNAcentral.
GUGGGGAAUAUUGGACAAUGGGGGGAACCCUGAUCCAGCCAUGCCGCGUGUGUGAAGAAGGCCUUUUGGUUGUAAAGCACUUUAAGCGAGGAGGAGGCUACCGAGAUUAAUACUCUUGGAUAGUGGACGUUACUCGCAGAAUAAGCACCGGCUAACUCUGUGCCAGCAGCCGCGGUAAUACAGAGGGUGCGAGCGUUAAUCGGAUUUACUGGGCGUAAAGCGUGCGUAGGCGGCUUUUUAAGUCGUAUGUGAAAUCCCUGAGCUGAACUUAGGAAUUGCAUUCGAUACUGGAAAGCUAGAGUAUGGGAGAGGAUGGUAGAAUUCCAGGUGUAGCGGUGAAAUGCGUAGAGAUCUGGAGGAAUACCGAUGGCGAAGGCAGCCAUCUGGCCUAAUACUGACGCUGAGGUACGAAAGCAUGGGGAGCAAACAGGAUUAGAUACCCGAGUAGUCC